Molecule: long non-coding RNA, 230 nt
Organism: Zophobas morio
Lineage: Eukaryota; Metazoa; Arthropoda; Insecta; Coleoptera; Tenebrionidae
Exons: 3
Source: RefSeq, a predicted model, not a curated record
AGUUGGAUUGUUAAAGAUAAAAUGCUUAAAUGCGAUAGCGUGUCCGAUAUUUUUCUUUUAUUAAAAAGCUCAGAUUUUAUUAUUCAUGACCUGGAACAUGCUUACGAUAAUUGUGAGGAAAAAAAUAAGCCUUCUCGCCCCGAAAAAUUUUAUUUGGUGCUUAAAAAGUGGUAUUCUUUAAACAACGCCAUGGAGUUUAGAUGUUUUAUUAGGAAUAGCAAGUUGGUAGG